CCUACGGGAGGCAGCAGUGGGGAAUAUUGGACAAUGGGCGAAAGCCUGACCCAGCGACGUCGCGUGGGGGAAGAAGGCCCUUGAGUUGUAAACCCCUUUUCCAAGGGAAGAGUAAGGACGGUACCUUGGGAAUAAGCCCCGGCUACUACGUGCCAGCAGCCGCGGU
Molecule: ribosomal RNA, 166 nt
Filed under: uncultured bacterium
Lineage: Bacteria
Description: partial 16S ribosomal RNA
Rfam family: Bacterial small subunit ribosomal RNA
Source: RNAcentral